ACGCCGCGUGAGUGAUGAAGGCUUUCGGGUCGUAAAACUCUGUUGUUAGGGAAGAACAAGUGCUAGUUGAAUAAGCUGGCACCUUGACGGUACCUAACCAGAAAGCCACGGCUAACUACGUGCCAGCAGCCGCGGUAAUACGUAGGUGGCAAGCGUUAUCCGGAAUUAUUGGGCGUAAAGCGCGCGCAGGUGGUUUCUUAAGUCUGAUGUGAAAGCCCACGGCUCAACCGUGGAGGGUCAUUGGAAACUGGGAGACUUGAGUGCAGAAGAGGAAAGUGGAAUUCCAUGUGUAGCGGCAAAUGCGUAGAGAUAUGGAGGAACACCAGUGGCGAAGGCGACUUUCUGGUCUGUAACUGACACUGAGGCGCGAAAGCGUGGGGAGCAAACAGGAUUAGAUACCCUGGUAGUCCACGCCGUAAACGAUGAGUGCUAAGUGUUAGAGGGUUUCCGCCCUUUAGUGCUGAAGUUAACGCAUUAAGCACUCCGCCUG
Molecule: ribosomal RNA, 490 nt
Filed under: Bacillus thuringiensis
Lineage: Bacteria; Bacillati; Bacillota; Bacilli; Caryophanales; Bacillaceae
Description: bacterial SSU rRNA
Rfam family: Bacterial small subunit ribosomal RNA
Source: RNAcentral